Molecule: small nuclear RNA, 19 nt
Filed under: Arabidopsis thaliana (thale cress)
Lineage: Eukaryota; Viridiplantae; Streptophyta; Magnoliopsida; Brassicales; Brassicaceae
Description: snRNA_14773
Source: RNAcentral
AGUUAAACCCUAGUUCCUU